RNAcentral lists this ribosomal RNA (465 nucleotides) under uncultured bacterium. Its description in RNAcentral is "partial 16S ribosomal RNA". It matches the Rfam family "Bacterial small subunit ribosomal RNA", at positions 338 to 795 of the family's 1533-position model. The record is from RNAcentral.
CCUACGGGAGGCAGCAGUAGGGAAUCUUCCACAAUGGGCGAAAGCCUGAUGGAGCAACGCCGCGUGGGUGAAGAAGGUCUUCGGAUCGUAAAACCCUGUUGUUAGAGAAGAAAGUGCGUGAGAGUAACUGUUCACGUUUCGACGGUAUCUAACCAGAAAGCCACGGCUAACUACGUGCCAGCAGCCGCGGUAAUACGUAGGUGGCAAGCGUUAUCCGGAUUUAUUGGGUGUAAAGGGUGCGUAGACGGGAAGUCAAGUUGGUUGUGAAAUCCCUCGGCUUAACUGAGGAACUGCAACCAAAACUAACUUUCUUGAGUGCUGGAGAGGAAAGUGGAAUUCCUAGUGUAGCGGUGAAAUGCGUAGAUAUUAGGAGGAACACCAGUGGCGAAGGCGACUUUCUGGACAGUAACUGACGUUGAGGCACGAAAGUGUGGGGAGCAAACAGGAUUAGAUACCCUUGUAGUC